This 492-nucleotide ribosomal RNA is filed under the name uncultured bacterium. RNAcentral describes it as "partial 16S ribosomal RNA". It matches the Rfam family "Bacterial small subunit ribosomal RNA", at positions 29 to 507 of the family's 1533-position model. The record is from RNAcentral.
AGUGAACGCUGGCGGUAGGCCUAACACAUGCCAGUCGAACGGCAGCACAGUAAGAGCUUGCUCUUACGGGUGGCGAGUGGCGGACGGGUGAGGAAUACAUCGGAAUCUACUUUUUCUUGUGGGAUAACGUAGGGAAACUUACGCUAAUACCGCAUACGACCUACGGGUGAAAGCAGGGGAUCUUCGGACCUUGCGCGAUUGAAUGAGCCGAUGUCGGAUUAGCUAGUUGGCGGGGUAAAGGCCCACCAAGGCGACGAUCCGUAGCUGGUCUGAGAGGAUGAGCAGCCACACUGGAACAGAGACACGGAAAAGACUCCUACGGGAGGCAGCAGCGGGGAAUAUUGGACAAUGGGCGCAAGCCUGAUCCAGCAAUACCGCGUGGGUGAAGAAGGCCUUCGGGUUGUAAAGCCCUUUUGUUGGGAAAGAAAAGCAGCAGGUUAAUACCCCGCUGUUCUGACGGUACCAAAAGAAUAAGCACCGGCUAACUUCGUG